This 468-nucleotide ribosomal RNA is filed under the name uncultured bacterium. Its description in RNAcentral is "partial 16S ribosomal RNA". It matches the Rfam family "Bacterial small subunit ribosomal RNA", at positions 28 to 507 of the family's 1533-position model. The record is from RNAcentral.
GACGAACGCUGGCGGCGUGCUUAACACAUGCAAGUCGAACGGAGAGGCGCCGAGUUUGUGGCGUGGACGAGUGGCGAACGGGUGAGUAACACGCGAGCAAACUCCCCCUGACUGUGGGAUAAAACCUGGAAACAGCGGCUAAUACAGGAUAGAAGAUAUUGCAGCAUGGGGAUCAUUAGUAAAAUACGGCGGUGGGGGAUGGUAUAGAGGCAUAUCAGCUUGUUGGGGAGGUAGUGGAUGACCAAGGCUACGACGGGUAGCCGGCCUGGGAGGGCGACCGGCCACACUGGGACUAAGGGACGGCCCAGACGCCUACGGGAGGCAGCGGUGGGAAACAUUACACAAUGGGCGAAAGUCUGAGGCAGCGACGCCGGGUGCGGGAUACCGGCCUUCGGGUGAUAAACCUCUUUCUGCGGGGAAGAAGAGGAAGUGACGGUACCUGCACAAGAAGCAACGGCUAACUACGUG